This 812-nucleotide ribosomal RNA is filed under the name uncultured Acidobacteriota bacterium. Its description in RNAcentral is "bacterial SSU rRNA". It matches the Rfam family "Bacterial small subunit ribosomal RNA", at positions 8 to 796 of the family's 1533-position model. Lineage: Bacteria; Pseudomonadati; Acidobacteriota. The record is from RNAcentral.
AGAGUUUGAUCAUGGCUCAGAAUCAACGCUGGCGGCGUGCCUCAGACAUGCAAGUCGAACGCGAAAGGCUCCUUCGGGGGCCGAGUAGAGUGGCGCACGGGUGAGUAACACGUAGGUAAUCUACCUUUGGGUGGGGAAUAACAGCCGGAAACGGCUGCUAAUACCGCAUAAUGCAGCGGCUCGACAUCGAGACAGUUGUUAAAGCGGGGGAUUCUUCGGAACCUCGCGCCUAAAGAGGAGCCUGCGGCAGAUUAGCUAGUUGGUAAGGUAAUGGCUUACCAAGGCAACGAUCUGUAACCGGCCUGAGAGGGCGGUCGGUCACACUGACACUGACAUACGGGUCAGACUCCUACGGGAGGCAGCAGUCGGGAAUUUUGGGCAAUGGGCGAAAGCCUGACCCAGCAACGCCGCGUGAAGGAUGAAAUCCCUCGGGAUGUAAACUUCGCAAGAAUGGGAAGAAUAAGUAGGGGACAAUACCCCCUAUGAUGACGGUACCAUUUGUAAGCUCCGGCUAACUCCGUGCCAGCAGCCGCGGUAAUACGGGGGGAGCAAGCGUUGUUCGGAUUUACUGGGCGUAAAGGGCGCGUAGGCGGUCGUGACAAGUCACUUGUGAAAUCUCCGGGCUUAACUCGGAACGGUCAAGUGAUACUGUCGGACUAGAGUACAGAAGGGGCAACUGGAAUUCUCGGUGUAGCGGUGAAAUGCGUAGAUAUCGAGAGGAACACCUGCGGCGAAGGCGGGUUGCUGGGCUGAUACUGACGCUGAGGCGCGAAAGCCAGGGGAGCGAACGGGAUUAGAUACCCCUGUAGUCC